This 254-nucleotide ribosomal RNA is filed under the name uncultured bacterium. RNAcentral's name for it is "partial small subunit ribosomal RNA". It matches the Rfam family "Bacterial small subunit ribosomal RNA", at positions 26 to 285 of the family's 1533-position model. The record is from RNAcentral.
AGGACGAACGCUGGCGGCGUGCUUAACACAUGCAAGUCGAGCGGAAAGGCCCUUCGGGGUACUCGAGCGGCGAACGGGUGAGUAACACGUGAGCAACCUGCCCUUAGCUUCGGGAUAGCUCCGGGAAACCGGAAUUAAUACCGAAUAUGAUUUUUGCUGACAUCAGCAGAGGUGGAAAGUUUUUCGGCUAGGGAUGGACUCGCGGCCUAUCAGCUAGUUGGUGAGGUAACGGCCCACCAAGGCGACGACGGGUA